This 417-nucleotide ribosomal RNA is filed under the name uncultured bacterium. RNAcentral describes it as "bacterial SSU rRNA". It matches the Rfam family "Bacterial small subunit ribosomal RNA", at positions 361 to 776 of the family's 1533-position model. The record is from RNAcentral.
AUAUUGGUCAAUGGAUGCAAGUCUGAACCAGCCAUGCCGCGUGCAGGAAGACGGCCCUAUGGGUUGUAAACUGCUUUUGUCAGGGGAUAAAACAGCUCUGCGGAGCAAAUUGAAGGUACCUGACGAAUAAGCCACGGCUAACUACGUGCCAGCAGCCGCGGUAAUACGUAGGUGGCAAGCGUUGUCCGGAUUUAUUGGGUUUAAAGGGUGCGUAGGCGGCCGUAUAAGUCAGUGCUGAAAUAUCCCGGCUUAACCGGGAGGGUGGCAUUGAUACUGUACGGCUUGAGUAGAGUUGAGGUUGGCGGAAUUGACGGUGUAGCGGUGAAAUGCUUAGAUAUCGUCAAGAACACCGAUAGCGAAGGCAGCUAACUAAACUCAAACUGACGCUGAGGCACGAAAGUGUGGGGAUCAAACAGG